UACAGAGGGUGCGAGCGUUGUCCGGAAUCACUGGGCGUAAAGGGCGCGUAGGUGGCUUGUUAAGCGUGUGGUGAAAGCCUGGGGCUCAACCCCAGGUCUGCCGUGCGUACUGGCGAGCUUGAGCAUAGUAGAGGCGGGUGGAAUUCCGGGUGUAGCGGUGGAAUGCGUAGAUAUCCGGAAGAACACCGGUGGCGAAGGCGGCCCGCUGGGCUAUUGCUGACACUGAGGCGCGACAGCGUGGGGAGCAAACAGG
Molecule: ribosomal RNA, 253 nt
Filed under: uncultured bacterium
Lineage: Bacteria
Description: partial 16S ribosomal RNA
Rfam family: Bacterial small subunit ribosomal RNA
Source: RNAcentral